AACCUAGCACACCUGCGGUGUGUACCUGCGGAGGGAUCAUUAUAGUAUAUGGAAUCUCCAUUCUAUAAACCCACUCUGCGUAUCUUGUAACUGUUGCUUCCAUGGGACUUGGUUCCGCCACACCGGCUUCACGGCUGGUGAGCGCCCAUGGAAGGAGAAACAAAACUCUUCUUUGAAAUGUAGUCAGUCUGAACAAGUUUUUAUAAACGUUAAAACUUUUAACAACGGAUCUCAGAUCGG
RNAcentral lists this unclassified non-coding RNA (240 nucleotides) under soil metagenome. Its description in RNAcentral is "partial contains 5.8S ribosomal RNA, internal transcribed spacer 2, and large subunit ribosomal RNA". The record is from RNAcentral.